UAGCAAACGUAGGAGUGUCUGGCAAAGAUAGCCAGGCUGAGAUCAGAUCCUUAGAACCUGAUUCGGUUCACACCGGCGUAGGAAAUCGUAAAAUUGAGGACU
RNAcentral lists this non-coding RNA (102 nucleotides) under Pseudanabaena sp. RNAcentral's name for it is "TPP sequence". It matches the Rfam family "TPP riboswitch aptamer (THI element)". Rfam says of the family: Vitamin B(1) in its active form thiamin pyrophosphate (TPP) is an essential coenzyme that is synthesised by coupling of pyrimidine and thiazole moieties in bacteria. The previously detected thiamin-regulatory element, thi box was extended, resulting in a new, highly conserved RNA secondary structure, the THI element, which is widely distributed in eubacteria and also occurs in some archaea. RNAcentral also lists the same sequence under 1 other name. The record is from RNAcentral. Lineage: Bacteria; Bacillati; Cyanobacteriota; Cyanophyceae; Pseudanabaenales; Pseudanabaenaceae.